AAGUGCACGCCGCGCGGAGGACGAAGAGGCUGCACGCACAGCCGCUGCCGGGGGUCGGGGCCAAGUGCGCGCCUCGCCGAGGACGAAGAGGCUGGCGUGCCCGGUGGCUCGGCUAGCUCCCGGGUCCCGGCCCCGCCUGGAGGGUGGCCAUCAUCGAAUCCACUGAGGGCGCAAAUAGAACAAAAAGGUGAAGAAAAGGUGAAUUCUCUCCUUUCUUGAGCUGGGACAUCCAACUUCUCAGACAUCAGAGCUCCUGGAGGCCUUCAGACUCCGAGACAUUACACCAUUGGCUCACCUGGUCCUCAGGUCUUUGGACUUGGAAUGAAUUACACCAUUGGCUUUCCAGGUCUUCCAGCUUGCAGAUGGCAGAUUGUGGGACUUUUCAGCCUCCAUAACUUUGUCAUCCAAUUCCCAUAAUAAAUCGCCUCUUAUAUCUGUAUCUGUUUGGUUCUGUUCUGGAGAUCCCGGAUUAAUGCAAAUGGAUUAAAAAAAUGCGGCCGGGCACGGUGGCUCAUGCCUGUAAUCCCAGCACUUUGGGAGGCCGAGGCAGGUGGAUCACUUGAGGCCAGGAGUUCAAGACCAGCCUGGCCAACAUGGUGAAACCCCACGAAACCCUGUCUCUACUAAAAAAAAAAUACAAAAUUAGCUGGGUGUGGUGGCGCACGCCUGUAAUCCCAGCUACUUGGAGGGCUGAGGCAGGAGGAUUGCGCGAACCCAGGAGACAGAGGUUGUAGUGAGCUGAGAUCACACCACUGCACUCCAGCUUGGGUGACAGAGUGAGACUCCAUCUCAAAAACAAAACAAAACAAAACCCCAAAAUGUGGUAUAUACAUGCAAGGGAAUAUUAUUCAGCCUUAAGGAAGGGAAUUCUGAUACAUGCUGUAUUGAGGAGCCUUGAAGGCAACAUGCUGAGUCAAAGAAUCCAGACACAAAAGGACAAAUGUUAUAUGAUUCUACUUAUGUGAGAUACCUACAAUAGUCAAAUUCAUAGAGAAAGGAAGUA
RNAcentral lists this long non-coding RNA (1003 nucleotides) under Homo sapiens (human). RNAcentral's name for it is "HSALNT0363336". Lineage: Eukaryota; Metazoa; Chordata; Mammalia; Primates; Hominidae. The record is from RNAcentral.